Scatophagus argus is the source of this 306-nucleotide long non-coding RNA. RefSeq lists it as uncharacterized. The transcript has 2 exons. The record is from RefSeq and is a predicted model, not a curated record. Lineage: Eukaryota; Metazoa; Chordata; Actinopteri; Scatophagidae.
GCAAUGUUAAUGUUGCCCUGCGCUCUGGACAGCAAGGACAUGACGAGGGCAUUCUUUAGGUGACACUCAAACUUUAACGCCUGGAAAGAGACGGAAGUGACAAAAGAAAGUGCCACAGACCAAAUGUGUGUGCAUACAGUGCGUACUUUGAGUCAAGCAUCUCCAGCGCAGUGACAGGAGGCAGAGUGGGCCAGUUGUGCAGCAGGGAGUGGAUGUGAGCUAUGCUGGCCCAGUCCCAGCUGGGCACACUGGCCAGCACCUUGGGGAGGCUGCUGGGGUGGUUCUUUCGACAGUCGAGCCGGUGGU